AUGGCGCGGCGCGGCGUGGUGGCCGUCGCCGGCGACCGGGCACGGUGCGGUGGCCCGGUGACCUGGACAGGGGCUGUCGCCGCGGAGCGAGAAAGAGAGCGGGGGCGCAGCGGCGCCGCAGCACUAUCCUUCUCUCUCGUUCUCUCUGCCAACAGGAAAGAGAAGGGGAACGGGAGGAAGGAGAUGCGAGCACGAGGCACGCGCGGCGUGGUGGUCUUCGACCCCGUCGCCGGCGGCUGGCCGGAGUCGCUCCAGGCGCGAGAGACAAGGAGAGCGAGGCACAUGGUGAAAGGAGCGAGGGUUUCGCCGUGGCUGCGUCGCUAG
This 324-nucleotide ribosomal RNA is filed under the name Triticum aestivum (bread wheat). RNAcentral describes it as "partial small subunit ribosomal RNA". The record is from RNAcentral. Lineage: Eukaryota; Viridiplantae; Streptophyta; Magnoliopsida; Poales; Poaceae.